GGGGUUAAACACUUACCUUUCUCCAGCGCUGGGCAGGGAGCUUUCCUCCUCCUCUCCUUCUUCCUAGCGACGUCAUAGGAUGAAUGCGCAUGAGCAGCAGGAGCCGCGCACACAUUCAGCCAGUCUCAUAGGAAAGCAUUCAUAAUGCUUUCCUAUGGACUCUGGCAUCCUCUCACUGUGAUUUUCACAGUGAGAAUCACGCAAGC
This is a non-coding RNA of Pelobates cultripes (western spadefoot toad), 206 nucleotides long. The record is from the annotation of a GenBank genome assembly. NCBI's taxonomy places the organism in Eukaryota, Metazoa, Chordata, Amphibia, Anura, Pelobatidae.